UACAGAGGGAGGAAGCGUUGUUGGGAUUUACUGGGCGUAAAGAGCGCGCAGGCGGCUGGUCAAGUCCGAUGUGAAAUCUCCCGGCUCAACUGGGAAACUGCAUCGGAAACUGAUCGGCUUGAAGGUGGGAGAGGGUAGUGGAAUUCCCGGUGUAGUGGUGAAAUGCGUAGAUAUCGGGAGGAACACCAGUGGCGAAGGCGACUACCUGGCCCACUCUUGACGCUGAGGCGCGAAAGCUAGGGGAGCGAACAGG
This 253-nucleotide unclassified non-coding RNA is filed under the name uncultured Chloroflexota bacterium. RNAcentral's name for it is "uncultured Chloroflexi bacterium contains 16S-23S intergenic spacer region". It matches the Rfam family "Bacterial small subunit ribosomal RNA", at positions 524 to 776 of the family's 1533-position model. The record is from RNAcentral. Lineage: Bacteria; Bacillati; Chloroflexota.